This 170-nucleotide ribosomal RNA is filed under the name Prionurus scalprum (scalpel sawtail). RNAcentral describes it as "partial 12S rRNA". The record is from RNAcentral. Lineage: Eukaryota; Metazoa; Chordata; Actinopteri; Acanthuriformes; Acanthuridae.
CACCGCGGUUAUACGAGAGACCCAAGUUGUUAGACACCGGCGUAAAGAGUGGUUAGGUUUAAACUAUAAACUAAAGCCGAACAUCUUCAAAGCUGUUAUACGCACCCGAAGAUAAGAAGUUCAAUCACGAAAGUGGCUUUACCCCAACUGAACCCACGAAAGCUAGGAUA